UACGAGUGCCUCAAGCGUUAUCCGGAAUCAUUGGGCGUAAAGGGUGUGUAGGCGGUUUUAUUAGUCUCGCGUUAAAUCUUUCGGCUCAACCGAGAGGCUGCGUGGGAAACGGUAAGACUUAGAGGACGGGAGAGGUCUCUGGAACUCAUGGUGUAGCGGUGAAAUGCGUUGAUAUCAUGGGGAACACCAAAAGCGAAGGCAAGAGACUGGCCCGCUCCUGACGCUGAAACACGAAAGCGUGGGUCGCGAAUGGG
This 254-nucleotide ribosomal RNA is filed under the name uncultured bacterium. Its description in RNAcentral is "partial 16S ribosomal RNA". It matches the Rfam family "Bacterial small subunit ribosomal RNA", at positions 524 to 776 of the family's 1533-position model. The record is from RNAcentral.